This 584-nucleotide ribosomal RNA is filed under the name Acinetobacter sp. CtST9.3. RNAcentral describes it as "bacterial SSU rRNA". It matches the Rfam family "Bacterial small subunit ribosomal RNA", at positions 49 to 628 of the family's 1533-position model. Lineage: Bacteria; Pseudomonadati; Pseudomonadota; Gammaproteobacteria; Moraxellales; Moraxellaceae. The record is from RNAcentral.
UUACCAUGCAAGUCGAGCGGAUGAAGGGAGCUUGCUCCUGGAUUCAGCGGCGGACGGGUGAGUAAUGCUUAGGAAUCUGCCUAUUAGUGGGGGACAACAGUUGGAAACGACUGCUAAUACCGCAUACGCCCUACGGGGGAAAGGAGGGGAUCUUCGGACCUUUCGCUAAUAGAUGAGCCUAAGUCAGAUUAGCUAGUUGGUGGGGUAAAGGCCUACCAAGGCGACGAUCUGUAGCGGGUCUGAGAGGAUGAUCCGCCACACUGGGACUGAGACACGGCCCAGACUCCUACGGGAGGCAGCAGUGGGGAAUAUUGGACAAUGGGGGGAACCCUGAUCCAGCCAUGCCGCGUGUGUGAAGAAGGCCUUUUGGUUGUAAAGCACUUUAAGCGAGGAGGAGGCGCCCUAGAUUAAUACUCUAGGAGCGUGGACGUUACUCGCAGAAUAAGCACCGGCUAACUCUGUGCCAGCAGCCGCGGUAAUACAGAGGGUGCGAGCGUUAAUCGGAUUUACUGGGCGUAAAGCGUACGUAGGCGGCUUUUUAAGUCGGAUGUGAAAUCCCUGAGCUUAACUUAGGAAUUGCAUUC